GAUGAACGCUAGCUACAGGCUUAACACAUGCAAGUCGAGGGGCAGCAUGGUCUUAGCUUGCUAAGGCCGAUGGCGACCGGCGCACGGGUGAGUAACACGUAUCCAACCUGCCGUCUACUCUUGGACAGCCUUCUGAAAGGAAGAUUAAUACAAGAUGGCAUCAUGAGUUCACAUGUUCACAUGAUUAAAGGUAUUCCGGUAGACGAUGGGGAUGCGUUCCAUUAGAUAGUAGGCGGGGUAACGGCCCACCUAGCCUUCGAUGGAUAGGGGUUCUGAGAGGAAGGUCCCCCACAUUGGAACUGAGACACGGUCCAAACUCCUACGGGAGGCAGCAGUGAGGAAUAUUGGUCAAUGGGCGAGAGCCUGAACCAGCCAAGUAGCGUGAAGGAUGACUGCCCUAUGGGUGGUAAACUUCUUUUAUAAAGGAAUAAAGUCGGGUAUGUAUACCCGUUUGCAUGUACUUUAUGAAUAAGGAUCGGCUAACUCCGUG
Molecule: ribosomal RNA, 490 nt
Filed under: uncultured bacterium
Lineage: Bacteria
Description: partial 16S ribosomal RNA
Rfam family: Bacterial small subunit ribosomal RNA
Source: RNAcentral